RNAcentral lists this ribosomal RNA (774 nucleotides) under uncultured Neocallimastigales. RNAcentral describes it as "partial large subunit ribosomal RNA". It matches the Rfam family "Eukaryotic large subunit ribosomal RNA", at positions 24 to 645 of the family's 3401-position model. Lineage: Eukaryota; Fungi; Neocallimastigomycota; Neocallimastigomycetes; Neocallimastigales. The record is from RNAcentral.
UAUGUGAUCGUCUCUCGCAUAUCAAUAAGCGGAGGAAAAGAAACUAACAAGGAUUCCCCUAGUAACGGCGAGUGAAGCGGGAAGAGCUCAAAUUUGAAAUCUUAAAGGGUUUCCCUUUAUGAAUUGUAGUUUAAAGAAGUGUUUUCUGUUGAGGUUUUGGUAAAAGUUCUUUGGAAUAGGACAUCAUAGAGGGUGAGAAUCCCGUAUUUGACCUUUACUUUCAACUUUGUGAUACACUUUCAAAGAGUCGGAUUGUUUGGGAAUGCAGUCCAAAAUGGGUGGUAAAUUUCAUCUAAAGCUAAAUAUUGGCGAGAGACCGAUAGCGAACAAGUACCGUGAGGGAAAGAUGAAAAGAACUUUGAAAAGAGAGUUAAACAGUACGUGAAAUUGUCAAAAGGGAAGCGUUUGACACCAGUGUUGUUUUUCUGAAAAUCAAUUAAAGAACUGUUUAUGCUAAGCUGUUUAGACUUUAUCAGCUAUCUGUUUAGUUUUGAGCUUUUCUUUAAUGCACUUUUCAGUUAACAAGUCAACAUCAAUUUCUUUUGCUGUAAAAAAGCUUGAGGAAGGUGGCUUGAGAUUCGUCUUAAGUGUUUAUAGCCUCUUGCCUAUGCAGUCGGAGAGAUUGAGGUCUGCAGCGUAGAUCCUUCGGGGCUAAAUGCAUUUGUGCUAAGUUAUAGCAUUUUAUAGACAACUUGUUGACUAUGAUUUGUCUUGUAGCUUACUCGCUUAUGUUAUUUUACCUACGCUUAGGAUGUUGAUCUCUCACAGUCGAGC